This 411-nucleotide ribosomal RNA is filed under the name Triticum aestivum (bread wheat). RNAcentral's name for it is "partial small subunit ribosomal RNA". The record is from RNAcentral. Lineage: Eukaryota; Viridiplantae; Streptophyta; Magnoliopsida; Poales; Poaceae.
AUGCUCAAGAUAGAUCUUGCUAAAGCUUUUGAUCGUCUUGAAUGGAGUUUCAUUGUGUCUGCUCUUGCACGUAAAGGUCUGCAUGGUCAUUUCAUUAAUUUGAUUCAUGCUUGCAUUUCUUCUCCUACUUUCUCUGUGCUUAUUAAUGGGCAGCCUUCUCAUAAAUUUAAAAGUUUCAGAGGUAUUCGUCAAGGUUGUCCCAUGUCGCCUUAUUUGUUUGUUACUGCUAUCAAUGAAUUAUCUGUUGCUCUUAAUGAAGCUCUAGCUGCUCAUCAUCUCCAGGGUAUUUCACUUGGUCCAGAUUGCCCUUCUAUUCAUUCUCUGUUGUUUGCAGAUGAUCUGUUGGUUUGUGGUCAAGCCACUAUGCAGGAAGCAAAUUCUAUGGCUCAACUCAUCCAUCACUUUUGUUAU